This is a long non-coding RNA of Biomphalaria glabrata, 921 nucleotides long. RefSeq lists it as uncharacterized. The record is from RefSeq and is a predicted model, not a curated record. Lineage: Eukaryota; Metazoa; Mollusca; Gastropoda; Planorbidae. The transcript is spliced from 3 exons.
UUGAAUUUAGUGUAGCAUGUCUGUCUGAGAUCAAUGGGGAGUGAGUUCCAAACCUUUGGUCCGUGCACAGAAAUUGCCCGCAGACCGUAGCUUGUGAGGAAGUUAUAGUUCUAACAUGUGUUGCCUAUAGGUAAAUCCGGCCCUGGUAUAAUACUAAGUUUAAUUUGAUGUAGGCCCCCCAACCUAAGACAAAGGUAACGGUAGUCGCGAGAUUGUACUUUAAAUCCUAAUUAUUUCAAAUAAAAGUGUCUCCAGGGCUACUAACUCUGAUCAAACUUCAAUUUUGUAUUGUUUAUAUUGCUCUCUUUUGGAUGACGAGUUUGCCGACCACUGGUUAGUAUAUUGUGUGUAUGUGUAUUGAGGGGUCACGGGUCAGAGUAAUUUAAGCGAUCUAUUGUGUCAUAGCAACUAAACGUCGAAGUGUGGGUCUAUCUAGUUCCGGAUGUAAAUAAUGCACAUGUCUCGGAUAAACUGGCCAAUCCCAAUCUAUUAGACCUAAUCUCGGUCAAGUUUUGACACAGAAGCCUAUUGGUCACGUGCGGUCGAAGUGAAUAGAGCUCAGUGUGUUGCCAGCAUUCAAAUGAAAUGGGACGCUCCUUUGAGGCUAAUCCUAUCUAUUGCCUAUCUCGUUAUGUCCCUUGUAUCUUAUCUUCGGUUCCAGAUCAAAACACAGAUCUCUUCUUUGUAAUAUAAAAAGGGAACAUCAUACAGAUUGCCAGAAAUUAUUACCUCUGAGAAGCAGACAGUAAAUAAAAAGGCUAAAAAAAUUGGUGUAUCAAGGACGCUGGCAUUCUUUAAGGCAAGAAGUCAUUGACAAAGAUCAAUGUCUAGUUAACAGAUGAUUAGAACCAUCACUUGUGAGGAACUGCAGAAGUUAAAACAUGUGUAAAGUGUUAUGCUACAAAGUGUUAUUUAAGGCAA